Molecule: non-coding RNA, 1050 nt
Organism: Odocoileus virginianus texanus
Lineage: Eukaryota; Metazoa; Chordata; Mammalia; Artiodactyla; Cervidae
Source: RefSeq, a predicted model, not a curated record
AGAUAAUAUUCUGAGACAUAUCCUGUGAGCUGUCUUACAGAUACUGAAACCCCAGUUGGAAAAAUUAACUACAAGAUGACCAGACUGUACCCAGGACAUGAGCUGCCACAAUUCCAAGAACUGUUCUCAAAGAAAUGGGAACAGACAGACUCUGGAACUGAAGAUUAACUGUACCUAAAACAAUCAAGAUGAUGCUAGUCAGACUACCAAUGAGCAAUCUGAAGAUGACUAUCAGAGCUCACUAUGCUGUUUCUGUAUGUAGCCAACCCCCCUCCCUACUCUGUGUAUAAAAGUUCCUACCCCCUGCUUGUCAGCGGGGGGAAUCAGCCUUUGGAUAGAUGUCUGCCCUCCCCCCAGUUGCCAGCAUCUGAAAUAAAGCAAACUUUCCUUUCCACCAACUGGGCCUGUUUAUUGACUUUUGGGCAGCGAGCAGCCAGACCCAACCUUUCAAUAAUAAGUAUGUGUGUCUCCUUGGAUGAUUCAUUUCUCAAUGUUAGACAAGUGCCCACUCCUGGGCGCUGGAAGGGGUUCCCCUUCCUGCAACCUUUUCAUCAUGUUAUCCUAGUUCUUAAAUUCCUCAGCCACCUCUGAGUGAUAGAAUUUAUGGAAAUACUCAGACACAGACUUACAAACAUGGUUACCAAAGGGGAAGGGAGAGGAGAGACAAAUUAGAAGUUUGGGAUUAACAUGUACACACUACGGUAAAGAAUCUGCCUGCACUUUUCCGCUGUCUUCGCUUCUCGCCCCUUGACGUUCCAGCCGCGCGCCCCGCGUCUCGUCGCUAUGCCCCGCAAAAUUGAGGAAAUCAAGGACUUCUUGCUCACGGCCCGACGCAAGGACACCAAGUCUGCCAAGAUCAAGAAAAACAAGGAUAAUGGGAAGUUUAAAGUUCGAUGCAGCAGAUACCUUUACACCUUGGUCAUCACAGACAAAGAGAAGGCAGAGAAGCUGAAGCAGUCCCUGCCCCCAGGUUUGGCUGUGAAGUAACUGAAAUGAACCACGUACGCUGCUUUGAACUGUAUUAAAAUUUUUUAAAUUCUCAAAAAAAAA